UAGGGAAUCUUCCACAAUGGACGAAAGUCUGAUGGAGCAACGCCGCGUGAGUGAAGAAGGGUUUCGGCUCGUAAAACUCUGUUGUUAAAAGAAGAAUAUAUCUGAGAGUAACUGUUCAGGUAUUGACGGUAUUUAACCAGAAAGCCACGGCUAACUACGUGCCAGCAGCCGCGGUAAUACGUAGGUGGCAAGCGUUGUCCGGAUUUAUUGGGCGUAAAGCGAGCGCAGGCGGUUUUUUAAGUCUGAUGUGAAAGCCUUCGGCUCAACCGAAGAAGUGCAUCGGAAACUGGGAAACUUGAGUGCAGAAGAGGACAGUGGAACUCCAUGUGUAGCGGUGAAAUGCGUAGAUAUAUGGAAGAACACCAGUGGCGAAGGCGGCUGUCUGGUCUGUAACUGACGCUGAGGCUCGAAAGUAUGGGUAGCAAACAGGAUUAGAUACCCUGGUAGUCCAUACCGUAAACGAUGAAUGCUAAGUGUUGGAGGGUUUCCGCCCUUCAGUGCUGCAGCUAACGCAUUAAGCAUUCCGCCUGGGGGAGUACGGCCGCAAGGCUGAAAC
This 556-nucleotide ribosomal RNA is filed under the name uncultured bacterium. RNAcentral describes it as "partial 16S ribosomal RNA". It matches the Rfam family "Bacterial small subunit ribosomal RNA", at positions 355 to 900 of the family's 1533-position model. The record is from RNAcentral.